CACGGGGGUUGGAGGGCAAGUCUGGUGCCAGCAGCCGCGGUAAUUCCAGCUCCAAUAGCGUAUAUUAAAGUUGUUGCAGUUAAAAAGCUCGUAGUUGAAUUUCGGGAUCAGUAGGUUGGUCAUGCCUAUGGUAUGUACUGGCUUUACUGGUUCCUCCUUCUUGAUGAUCUGUAAUGUCAUUAAUUUGGUGUUGCAGGGAGUCAGGACUGUUACUUUGAAAAAAUUAGAGUGUUUAAAGCAGGCAUACGCUUGAAUACAUUAGCAUGGAAUAAUGAAAUAGGACGUUCGAUCCUAUUUUGUUGGUUUCUAGGAUUGACGUAAUGAUUAAUAGGGAUAGUUGGGGGCAUUAGUAUUCAAUUGUCAGAGGUGAAAUUCUUGGAUUUAUUGAAGACUA
This 394-nucleotide ribosomal RNA is filed under the name uncultured Glomus. RNAcentral describes it as "SSU rRNA". It matches the Rfam family "Eukaryotic small subunit ribosomal RNA", at positions 536 to 938 of the family's 1831-position model. Lineage: Eukaryota; Fungi; Glomeromycota; Glomeromycetes; Glomerales; Glomeraceae. The record is from RNAcentral.